Molecule: ribosomal RNA, 465 nt
Filed under: uncultured bacterium
Lineage: Bacteria
Description: partial 16S ribosomal RNA
Rfam family: Bacterial small subunit ribosomal RNA
Source: RNAcentral
GACGAACGCUGGCGGCGUGCUUAACACAUGCAAGUCGAACGGAAAGGCCCCUUUGGGGGUACUCGAACGGUGAACGCGUGCGUAACACGUACGUAACCUUCCCCUGACUUUGGGACUACUUCAAGAAACUGGGGCCAAUACUGAUACGGAAUCAUUUCUGCAAGGUGGGGGUUGGAAAGCUUCGGCGGGUUUGGAUGGACUUGCGACGUAUCAGCUUGUUGCUGUGGCAGUGGCUUACCAAGGCGUUGAAGGGUAGCCGGACUGAGUGGGCGACCUGCCACACUGGGACCGAGAGGAGGCCCCGACUCCUACGGGAGGCAGAAGUGGGGAAUAUUGAACAAGGGGCGGAAGCCUGAUGCAGAAGGGCCGCGGGCGGGAUGACGGCCUUAGUGUUGUAAAACGAAUUCAGCAGGGGCGAAGCUUGUGGUGACGGUACCUGCAGAAGAAGCACCGGCUAACUACGUG